AUUUAUCGGUGAUGGAUGGGGAUGCGUCUGAUUAGCUUGUUGGCGGGGUAACGGCCCACCAAGGCGACGAUCAGUAGGGGUUCUGAGAGGAAGGUCCCCCACAUUGGAACUGAGACACGGUCCAAACUCCUACGGGAGGCAGCAGUGAGGAAUAUUGGUCAAUGGACGAGAGUCUGAACCAGCCAAGUAGCGUGCAGGAUGACGGCCCUAUGGGUUGUAAACUGCUUUUAUAAGGGAAUAAAGUGAGUCUCGUGAGACUUUUUGCAUGUACCUUAUGAAUAAGGACCGGCUAAUUCCGUGCCAGCAGCCGCGGUAAUACGGAAGGUCCGGGCGUUAUCCGGAUUUAUUGGGUUUAAAGGGAGCGUAGGCCGGAGAUUAAGCGUGUUGUGAAAUGUAGACGCUCAACGUCUGCACUGCAGCGCGAACUGGUUUCCUUGAGUACGCACAAAGUGGGCGGAAUUCGUGGUGUAGCGGUGAAAUGCUUAGAUAUCACGAAGAACUCCGAUUGCGAAGGCAGCUCACUGGAGCGCAACUGACGCUGAAGCUCGAAAGUGCGGGUAUCGAACAGGAUUAGAUACCCUGGUAGUCCGCACGGUAAACGAUGGAUGCCCGCUGUUGGUCUGAAUAGGUCAGCGGCCAAGCGAAAGCAUUAAGCAUCCCACCUGGGGAGUA
RNAcentral lists this ribosomal RNA (672 nucleotides) under uncultured bacterium. RNAcentral's name for it is "bacterial SSU rRNA". It matches the Rfam family "Bacterial small subunit ribosomal RNA", at positions 210 to 882 of the family's 1533-position model. The record is from RNAcentral.